UACGUAGGGUCCGAGCGUUGUCCGGAAUUACUGGGCGUAAAGAGCUCGUAGGUGGUUUGUCGCGUUGUUCGUGAAAACUCACAGCUCAACUGUGGGCGUGCGGGCGAUACGGGCAGACUGGAGUACUGCAGGGGAGACUGGAAUUCCUGGUGUAGCGGUGAAAUGCGCAGAUAUCAGGAGGAACACCGGUGGCGAAGGCGGGUCUCUGGGCCGAUACUGACGCUGAGGUGCGAAAGCGUGGGGAGCAAACAGG
This 253-nucleotide ribosomal RNA is filed under the name uncultured bacterium. Its description in RNAcentral is "partial 16S ribosomal RNA". It matches the Rfam family "Bacterial small subunit ribosomal RNA", at positions 524 to 776 of the family's 1533-position model. The record is from RNAcentral.